RNAcentral lists this transfer RNA (86 nucleotides) under Streptomyces griseorubiginosus. RNAcentral's name for it is "tRNA-Leu". It matches the Rfam family "tRNA". Rfam says of the family: Transfer RNA (tRNA) molecules are approximately 80 nucleotides in length. Their secondary structure includes four short double-helical elements and three loops (D, anti-codon, and T loops). Lineage: Bacteria; Bacillati; Actinomycetota; Actinomycetes; Kitasatosporales; Streptomycetaceae. The record is from RNAcentral.
GCCGGGUUGAUGGAAGGGUAGACAUGAUCGCCUCAAAAGCGAUUGUCCGAAAGGACGUGCGGGUUCGAAUCCCGCACCCGGCACCU